GAUGAACGCUGGCGGCGUGCCUAAUACAUGCAAGUAGAACGCUGAAGGAAGGAGCUUGCUCUUUCCGGAUGAGUUGCGAACGGGUGAGUAACGCGUAGGUAACCUGCCUGGUAGCGGGGGAUAACUAUUGGAAACGAUAGCUAAUACCGCAUAACAGUAGAUGUUGCAUGAUAUCUACUUAAAAGGUGCAAUUGCACCACUACCAGAUGGACCUGCGUUGUAUUAGCUAGUUGGUGAGGUAACGGCUCACCAAGGCGACGAUACAUAGCCGACCUGAGAGGGUGAUCGGCCAAACUGGGACUGAGACACGGCCCAGACUCCUACGGGAGGCAGCAGUAGGGAAUCUUCGGCAAUGGACGGAAGUCUGACCGAGCAACGCCGCGUGAGUGAAGAAGGUUUUCGGAUCGUAAAGCUCUGUUGUAAGAGAAGAACGAGUGUGAGAGUGGAAAGUUCACACUGUGACGGUAUCUUACCGGAAAGGGACGGCUAACUACGUG
RNAcentral lists this ribosomal RNA (497 nucleotides) under uncultured bacterium. RNAcentral's name for it is "partial 16S ribosomal RNA". It matches the Rfam family "Bacterial small subunit ribosomal RNA", at positions 28 to 507 of the family's 1533-position model. The record is from RNAcentral.